UUUUUUUAACCAAACAGAUACGCUUUGCUCAUUUAAUUUCCCGACACCGCAUUCAGCCUCUGCACCUUAAAGUCCUUUGAGCGGUAGGUCCACGUUUAUACCUCCUCUGGAGCAAGUGCAAAAUACACUUCAGCUCAAGGGCUGGAGAAAAUCCUUCUCCGCAAGCAGAAGCUCUGCUGAGCAGCCUGGUGCUGCUGAUUAUAUAGUGCAACUUGAAAUGAUCUCAGCCGGUGGAAUAUUAAUCAAAUCAAUCAGGGUUGACAAAUGAGAAAUAUUUGAGGGAAGGUGGUAAUUUACAACUUUGUUAUUAGUUAAGAAUCUCCCGCCUUGUAAGAGUAAUUAAUAACUCCUGGAUGGGAACAAUUUGGAGACGGCAAGAAGACAGCGUCUUGAAAUAAAACAGGAUAAAGAGAGGGGUUGAGAAGUGAACUGCGCCUCCGUGGAAGAGAAAUUGCAAAUGAUUUUUUAAAAGAUGUCUACGGGGGCAUUAUAUAUAUAAUCUGUACAUUAUGUAUACACGAGUAUAAAUAUGGAAUAAUCAGGCGAGCGAGCGAGGGAGACUGGACAGGAGAUAAAUACUGAAAAAAAUAAAUCAAAACAUUGAUUCUCGUGGUCACGUCUCCCGUCCAAAGAUUAGAUGAAACGCUGGGUUUCAAAGUACUUCAAAGAAAUGAUCCCCGCUCAGGCACGCAGGGGUCACUCCUAUUUAGCCAUUUCCACCUUAUUUCCUACACCCUGCUCUCUAGGUGCAUAGGGCUGCGCAUACGCGCGGCGGUGCGCGGAGGUUCCGCUCCGGCACAGUGCAGAAAGCUCACCCAGAUGACCUUUUUCCUUUUUUUCCCCCCUUAAAAGCAGAGAAAGAUGAUCUCUGGGCCGUUAUUUACAGCCACGUAAUUAAGUCAAUAUGAUGGUUUCGAACCAGAAUCCCAGUCCCACUCGCGGCAGAGCGAGAGGGGCUGAAGCCAAGUUUAUUGUCUGUCACUUCAAGGCAUGGGGGUUAAUUUAAGCGCUAUUGGUAUUAUUUCUCUGCGUCCGAGGCCACAGCAAAGCACAGACCGCAGUGCUGGGUGUUUAUUGCAGGCGAUGUGACAGUCUGGAUGCAAGGCGAGGAGGGAGUGUGGGAGAGUUCAGGCGAGGGCUGAACCAGCCCCGCAAGCAGGGCUGAAACCCGUGUCUUCUUUUUCUUCCAGGCUUACAUGAGGGUUUAUCAUUAGUUUCUUUUUCUUU
Molecule: long non-coding RNA, 1227 nt
Filed under: Zonotrichia albicollis (white-throated sparrow)
Lineage: Eukaryota; Metazoa; Chordata; Aves; Passeriformes; Passerellidae
Description: lncRNA (ENSZALG00000005712.1)
Source: RNAcentral